AGGGGGAGGAGGGGGUGCGGCGGCGGCGGCGGCGGUGGCUCGGGUAUGCUCCCGGGAGGCGCGCGGGGUCGCGGGCCGCCGUCGCGGCGGGGGACCGGGCGAUCGGCGUCGCCUGCGCGGGAGACCGGCGGCCAAGACCCGCCCGCCCUCGCCGCAGCCGCUACCGCGGCUGGGCCUUCUUCGCGCGGAGGAGGCGCCGGCGCCGGCGGCGGCGGCGCCGGGUCACCUUCCAGCCGCUGGAGCACGAGCGGUUCGAGUUCCCGAUGGGCCGCACCGGUCGGUACUAAUCGCUCGGCGUCUUUACCCCCGAAGGAAGUUGAUUUUUCUUCAACGACCAGAUGAAAAUACCUUGAUUUCUCUAACGAAAGACGUUAAUACGACUAGAACUCCGCAAGUGACUUCUCUUUUUCUUUAGAGAUGAACAAUUUGCUGUACCCUUUCCUCGUCUAAAACAGUUUCGUCAAUUCCUUUAUCACCUUUAAAAACUAAGAUACUUCUUGCUCCUGUUAUUAUUCUCGCCCAACCGGGGACGGUUGUUAUCGUCGUCAAACCUGUGACCUCCAGGGCUUCUUCCAAGACUAAACCGGUUACUAUCGUUCGAGCUCCCAUUAGGACGGAGAAGGUACCUAGUGUCGUACCGGUCACGGGGACCCAGAUUAUAACGACGUAACCUCUCACUUGUGACACAACACUUGAGACGUGGACUACUCGGACGAUGAAGUAAAAGUUUCUUCUCCUCUUCAUUACGAGACGUUGAUCCAAGAACGUGAGUGGCAUUAGAAUGAAGGGGUGCCUCCGGUUCUUCAAGUAAUCCACGACUAGUAUCCUGAGCCCUAAGAACACCCGGCUUACCAGAGUUAGACGGAGGACAACUAUACUGGUGACUACUAUCCGUCCUUCCGAGAAGAGCCGAAUUUACAUAUCCACUACUGUUUGGAUUUAGCCUAAAGGAAAGUCGAUGCUUCCUACAAUACGACAAGUUAACGCCAGCUCCGUGGAGUUCAGUUAGACCUCGAAGAGACUUACCAUUAAUACUCUUGUUAAACUCAAGACGACGUUUAUAUCUUUCACUAGAAUUACAACUUCAUACAGUUUGACAGUACCCAUUUCUUCUAUUAGACCUACCCUGUGUUCUAGAAAGGUGCUCAUGUCGUCAAUGAAGAUUUUCUUUCGCUUCGGGCCUGUGGUUACUACAAUUAUUAAGAUAGUCGUCACACCAUGGUUUAUACCUACUUCUUAACGUCGGAUUAAGUCCACCUUUGGACGGUCUAAGAGGUUUAAGUCCCUUACUUCAGUUAUUCAGUCUGCCUCUACUGGUGAACGGUAAUCACUUUUCCCGUGCCCAAGCUUACCCUUCUGGGGUCGACCUCCUGAGGUACCAACUACUCGAACUAUAAAGACUAUUGUUUUAUCUCAACCGAUAUGGACAUCUACUUACAAUAUUUGUACUGGACAGAAGUUGUCACCCUUUCCUAGUAGGUCGACUACUACAGGGGAUAGCGUAUCUAGGAAGUGGGUGUCAUCUGGGUAGCGACCGUAGCCCUUUACUAGUAAGUCGACUCCUCCACGAAGGACCGUAUCUAGGAAGUGGGUUUCAUCUGGGUAACGACCGUAGCCCUUUACUAGUAAAUCGACUCCUCCACGAAGGACCAUAUCUAGGAAGUGGGUUUCAUCUGGUUGACGACCGUAGCCCUUUACUGGUAAAUCGACUCCUCCACGAAGGACCGUAUCUAGGAAGUGAGUUUCAUCUGGGCAGACGUAGUCCUCUCCAAGUCUGACGAACGUUCCUGUUUCUCAUAGUUAGUUUCCAAAACUGCAAUCUACCUCUUCGACGAAAUGGAGGUAGAUUUGCAGAGGUAGCACGGAAUCUCCGAUACAGACGAUUACGACGACUUUGAUGACCAUUAGACGGACUUCACUUAUUCGGUCUCACAUAGGACUUCGGAACGUGUCGCAGCUAUCCUUCGAGAGGAAAAUUAUUGAGACGUCUACGUGAACAGUCUUCAGGUUCUAGACGUUGUUGAUUUCCGGGCCUUUAUACAAGUGGUCAUGAAAGAAAUCUAUGGGGUUGACCGGAUUUCACAAACAGUGUUGGUAAGUAUAAUUUGUUCCUGAGGGGCAGAAGACAAAGUGACCUUAACUGUUUGCCACCGUUAGUACUAGAAGGUUUUCUGUUUCAAUCGUGGUCCCUGCUACUACUAUAGACACCUUUAAGAGGUCGGACGAGGAACCUCAGCUUUCUCCGACGGAAACAUAGAUUCAAACUAGUCAACGGAUACCCCUUUCAUUCAUGUUUACUCGAGGGCCUAGGUUAACCAUUAAGAUCAGCUCUAAAAUCAUUUUUAUAACUACCUAGACGAAUAGGUGAAUCGGUACGUUUCUGACAACACGGUCCACGAUUAGUGCUAAGGUUAAGGCUCGGUGUUUUAUUCUGUCAAAACCGACUUGGUUGUCAGUCACACCCACUGUCCUGUUCACGGAGAAGCAACCAAUGAUUUCAAUGUACGUCGGUCUUACAACGUCCGCGGGCUCGUAAACUUCGCGUACCAAGAAGUCGUUGCCGUGACUCUCUUGGCCUGGUGUUUUAAUUGUACUUCCUAUAACCAAAUAGAGGACUGGGCUACGGAUACUUUCCUGAAUAACGACGACGUGUACGAGUCUUUAAGAGAGUUGGUUGAAGAAAGUAUCUGUCAAAAAAUCUAAGGUUACAAUAAAGACUUGGAAGACACUUAUAUGGAAGUCAAUUCCUUCCUAGUCCACCGGCCACAAGUGGAAGUUUAUGAUAUUAUUCCAGACGUAGUCUAUCCUAAGUAUGAGUCGUCUGAUCACCAUUCUAAGAAAGACUAUUGUAUGUUGUCUUCUCGAACUUGUUUGGUCGUCCAGUACUACUUCGGUCCAGUCGUGCCUCCCGGAAACUUUUAAAGGAUCCAUGUAAUUGUUCUUGUUUUCUUACAUAUCGGGCACGUUGUGCAGACCGAGACCUAACACGAUUCGUACCGUAACGACCCCUCCAUUACCUACAGUAGUAGCUUGCGGACCUUUUUCUUAGUUUAAAUAUGUUUUCCCACCUGGACAAGAAGGAACAACUAAGUUAUUAGGUCACGACAGCGUUAGUCUUUCCACCUCAACCUCUACGGAUAGGAAGAGAAUAGGUUCGUCAGGACGGUGCUUAUGAUAUACGAAGACGUGGAGGACCUUUAAGACGUACCCUCUUAGCUUCUGUUACAGAAUUCCAAAACUUUGAGACCGAACUCUCCUUUUGCGAAAGUCUUAUGUAGUAAGCAGUAGUAUAAUUCCUCGAACUUCGAGAAUUACUUCGUAGUAAACCCUGGAGAGCAGCAGUAAGUCCCUGUCUCUCUCGAGACUUACUGGGAAAUGCCCUAUUACUUCCUUACGAACAUCUACUUAUACCUUCGUUAUGACCAAAGGUAGAAGGUUUAAACUAGACGCACUUUGACGACCUGCUCCUUCCUUCGAGGAGACUCCUAUCCUCGAAACUUCGACAGUGAGGACUUGUACUUAGAUGACCACGACUCGUUCCCCUCCCAAGAGUUAACCUACCCCGCUUCGUAGCUGAACAGAAACUUCUUCACUUACCACUAGAACUCUACCUUCUACAUCGGGGUAGUAGACUUCGCCUUCGAUCGAGACGUACGGUUGGUCUAGAUUGUCGACGCUCCACAUGUGGCUGAUCAGUUUUACAAUUAAGACAAGGAGGUGAUGGACUUCUGUUUGGAGGUUGAGGAGGGGGCAACGGUAGUAGAGGUGGUGGAGAUGGUGCGGGAGUCACAGGACAGUAAGUUCCAAGUGUCCAAGUUCCUCGUAACGUACACCGUGGACUAGCUCAGCUCGGUCUAUGAAAUUCUUUACAAGUUCUAGUCGUGGGAGUAAGAUAACGUUUAUUAGCUCCGUUGUACCUAGGAACACGCCAAGGUAAGGUCGGAGGUGGCGGGAUAUGAAGACCCACACGUCCCGUAGGUUUGGUCUACGUAGGCGGCGGUGGCGACGGAGGUGGCGGCGGAGGUGGUGGACAGCGUGGAAAGGUAGGAGGACCUGGGGUACCUUUAAAAAGACCCGGGGGUCAUGGCGGGGUACCAUUAUUGAUAGUGGCAGGUGGUCGUGGUGGUGGAGGCUUAUUACGUAUGGUAAACGUCGGUGGUGGUGGUGGCGUAGGUGGUGGUGGCGUAGGUGGUCCAGGCUUAGUCAAGGGUAUAUACGGUGGACUUGUGGUUGUUUCUCGUGUUGGAACCUUAACAUUAGGAGGGAUAGGACUCCCUAUAGUCAUGUUACCUGUACUGUCUCCUGUGGGAGGUAUGCUAUCCUCUGUAGUGAAACUACUAUCUACCGUGGUGAAGCUGCUAUCUCCCGUUGCGAAACUACUACCUCCCGUAGUAAAGUUACGGCCUCCAGGAGUGAAACUGCUACCUCGUAUAGCGAUACUACUAUCUCCCGUAGUGAAGUUACUGUCUCCUGUUUACGUGGUACUUAGAUACCUAUCUCCUUCCAAAGGAGGUGUAAAACCUGGUCUAGGGGGCAUGGGACUGGUAAAACUUCGAAGUAGGAGGGUGGUACCCGCUGGUAGCCUGCCAGGUGGACCAGGUACGUGGCUGACCAGCUACGGCGGAUCCUCUAGGUUCAUAGGAGGACCGAGGUCUGUAAGUUACCUCGGAGGUUACAGGGUACUUCCUCCAACCUCCUCCGUGCCUUCUGUGUUAUUACUAUCUAAGGUAUCUACUUCCCGGCGUCUUCGAAACACAGAGCUGGUAUGACUCGGAGUAGACGCUAAUUGUCAUGUUACCAAAGGUCUGCUCCCUAUUAAGGACUGUUAAAAUUACCAAUAUCUAAAAUCAAAAGAAAGAAAAACGGAAACCACCCGGCACUUCCCCUAGAAGUAACAGAGGUAAGUCCCUGCCCGAAUCGUACUUUAGAGAAACGUUUUCUUCUCUACCUUGUCCGGGACCAACAUGUUUACAUACAGUGGUAAGAAGACGUUUACGUCUUUGCCUUCCCUGAAGUUACCACGCACCUCGACAAGACAUUGUUAGAUCAAUCGGAAUGUCAGAUGACACAACAACUCUUUAAGAAGUGAUAACUAAAGGUAAGUUUAUAGGGAAAACAUUAGGUUGACAGUAAAGUUCGUGGAAUGACUUUGACAGACUGUAACAUAUACCGGUGUUAGAUCUUACAAGAAAAAACGCCCACAGACUGACAUACAC
This 5216-nucleotide ribosomal RNA is filed under the name Triticum aestivum (bread wheat). RNAcentral describes it as "partial small subunit ribosomal RNA". The record is from RNAcentral. Lineage: Eukaryota; Viridiplantae; Streptophyta; Magnoliopsida; Poales; Poaceae.